CAGGGAUUGCCUUAGUAACGGCGAGUGAAGCGGCAACAGCUCAAAUUUGAAAUCUGGCCCUCGGGUCCGAAUUGUAAUUUGUAGAGGAUGAUUUUGGUGCGGUAUCUUCCGAGUUCCUUGGAACAGGACGCCUUAGAGGGUGAGAGCCCCGUACGGUUGAAUGCCUAGCCUCUGUAAAUCUCCUUCGACGAGUCGAGUAGUUUGGGAAUGCUGCUCUAAAUGGGAGGUAAAUUUCUUCUAAAGCUAAAUAUUGGCCAGAGACCGAUAGCGCACAAGUAGAGUGAUCGAAAGAUGAAAAGCACUUUGAAAAGAGGGUUAAAUAGCACGUGAAAUUGUUGAAAGGGAAGGAUUUGUGACCAGACUUUUUCUGGGCGGAUCAUCCGGGGUUCUCUCCGGUGCACUUUGCCCAGUAAAGGCCAGCAUCGAUUUUCGGCGGCGGAUAAAAGCAGUGGGAAUGUGGCUCCCUACGGGGAGUGUUAUAGCCCAUUGUAUAAUACGCUGCUGGGGAUCGAGGUACGCGCUUCUGCAAGGAUGCUGGCGUAAUGGUUAUCAAUCACCCGUCUUGAAACACGGACCAAGGAGUCGAACAUUUAUGCGAGUGUUUGGGUGUUAAACCCUCACGCGUAAUGAAAGUGAACGGAGGUGAGAGCCCGUACGGGUGCAUCAUCGACCGAUCCUGAAGUUUUCGGAUGGAUUUGAGUAAGAGCAUAACUGUUCGGACCCGAAAGAUGGUGAACUAUGCGUGGAUAGGGUGAAGCCAGAGGAAACUCUGGUGGAGGCUCGCAGCGGUUCUGACGUGCAAAUCGAUCGUCAAAUCUGCGCAUGGGGGCGAAAGACUAAUCGAACCAUCUAGUAGCUGGU
RNAcentral lists this ribosomal RNA (861 nucleotides) under Pestalotiopsis sp. RNAcentral describes it as "LSU rRNA". It matches the Rfam family "Eukaryotic large subunit ribosomal RNA", at positions 69 to 955 of the family's 3401-position model. Lineage: Eukaryota; Fungi; Ascomycota; Sordariomycetes; Amphisphaeriales; Sporocadaceae. The record is from RNAcentral.